AAAAUAGAUACCCCGGUAGUCCACGCCGUAAACGAUGAGUGCUAAGUGUUGGGGGGUUUCCGCCCCUCAGUGGCUGCAGCUAACGCAUUAAGCACUCCGCCUGGGGGAGUACGGUCGCAAGACUGAAACUCAAAGGAAUUGACGGGGGCCCGCACAAGCGGUGGAGCAUGUGGUUUAAUUCGAAGCAACGCGAAGAACCUUACCAGGUCUUGACAUCCCGGUGACCACUAUGGAGACAUAGUUUCCCCUUCGGGGGCAACGGUGACAGGUGGUGCAUGGUUGUCGUCAGCUCGUGUCGUGAGAUGUUGGGUUAAGUCCCGCAACGAGCGCAACCCUUAUUCUUAGUUGCCAUCAUUCAGUUGGGCACUCUAAGGAGACUGCCGGUGAUAAACCGGAGGAAGGUGGGGAUGACGUCAAAUCAUCAUGCCCCUUAUGACCUGGGCUACACACGUGCUACAAUGGACGGUACAAACGGUUGCCAACCCGCGAGGGGAGCUAAUCCGAUAAAACCGUUCUCAGUUCGGAUUGUAGGCUGCAACUCGCCUACA
This 548-nucleotide ribosomal RNA is filed under the name uncultured bacterium. RNAcentral's name for it is "bacterial SSU rRNA". It matches the Rfam family "Bacterial small subunit ribosomal RNA", at positions 775 to 1320 of the family's 1533-position model. The record is from RNAcentral.